AGUAGUGAGUUCUUAAUAGAAUUGAAUAUAUUUUCCAGCAAAUAGCACUGAAUCUCACAUAAGGCUGUGUGGCACGGGUUGCUUCAGUCACCCACCUGGCAGGCCUUGCUGCGUGUUUGGAGUGUGACAAACCUAGGUGGUCUGGGCCCAUCUCAGGGGUUACAUGACCCACCAGCCAAAGAGCACUGCACAGUCACACAUUGUAUUUCUCCUGCUCUAAGUGUAUUCAGAGUAAACCACCUAGCUCAAGACUUCUCUUUUUCUCUCUAAUUUUUCAUCCAUUUAGUAAAACAGUUUAUCUUGGAACUAAAAGCAGCAAUAUUUGAUUGAUACUAACCAUGGUACCUCUGAAUGGACUAAACCUAGAUUCUUCCUCCCUUUCUUCCUUCCGUUCUUCCCUCCCUCCCUCCCUCCUACCCCCCUUCCACCCCUCCCCAAACCCAAGGGGCUUUUAAAGGCUGCUCUGUGGCAGGGAAGGUCUUUGGGGACUGGCUGCCCGAAGGGUGGCUGUGUCAGGAAAGAACACGGGGGUGGGGUGGGCAGGAGACUGCCAGGCACUCUCUGGUCUGGCACAGGAAGGGUGGGACUGCUUUUUGGAGAACCAUGGGGCAUGACUGCCCCACUGUCAUGGGAUAGUGUCUGGGACAGUGUCAGGACUUAAGUAUCCCAGGUGUCAUGAAAGAAACCUCUGGAGAAAAACAACGUGCAGGAGCCCUUUAUCGUAAUGCCACUUGCAGGUUACCGCUCUGAAAGCAAAGCCGGACUCGGGCCCUGCCGGGGUAGGCAGUCUUUGUCUGCCUGCGCGCCGGAGCGCUGCGCUCGGGCUGGGGAUUGAUUUUUGGCCCCCGCCGCAGCAAGUUGGGGGCUGGCGAGGCGCGUGGCGGCGGCUGGGGGCGGAGUGCGGCUGGGCUCCGCUCCGCCAGGCAGCCCGCUGCUGCCUCGGGUUUGUUGGAACUUGGAAUUUCCAUAUGGCAAAAAAGAAAGAGGGCUUCUCCUCGACCUAACGGAGCCGCUACCGUCUCCCGACGACGCCGCCGACAGGAAUGAAGAAUGAGGCUGGACGUCGGGUCUUGAGUCCAGAACAAGGAAGGAGAGGCUCGGCGGUACAGACAGCUCUGCAGGCCCUCCUCGUGGAAUGAGAGCAUGUCCGAGCUGAAGGCCCCGAGUUCCCGCUGCCGUGUGGGUGUUGACCCGCCAGUGACUCCACCAUGGCCUCCGUCCUCGUGGUCACCAUCUACUAAGACAGACUGAAGAGGUAAACGAUAAUUUGAGGAUAAAAAAAGGUACGAGAGUCUUAGAGGCCAGGCCAGCAGCUCAGGCUGAGCAGAGGGCAGGAAAGGCCUUCCUAACGGCUGCCUAGAGCCCAGCUGCAGAAAGAGGGCUUUGCUGGGUGGACGGGGUGCAGGCAUCCCAGUGGGGUUCGGGUCACAGCAGCACGCACACGUGCCAGCCUGGGGGCUCUGCUGCACCGUGGGGGAGGGGCAGGGAGGGGCUGGGACUCUGUCUCGACAGCAGUGGGAAGCCUCGGAGCUCAUAUUGACCCUCUGGAAGAGUCACUUUGGAUCCUGUGGAUGGCAGUGGGGUUAGCCUAAAGGCAGGGAGGUCUGACAGUCAAUCUGUUGAAGUAAAAUUACCCGUUACAAAAUAGCACUGUGGAUGUCCCUAAAAUAGUCAGUGCCAUUUUGAUUCUCCUGAGAGAGUCAUCCUAGCACUUAGCAAAAAGUAACUGGGGGAGCCAGGCGUGGUGGCGCAUGCUUGUAGUCCCAGCUACUUGGGAGGCUGAGGCAGGAGAAUCUCUUGAGCCUGGAGUUUGUAGCCACGGUCUGGGCAACAUAGCAAGACCCCAUCUCGAAAGAAAGUAACUGGGCUACAGAGUCUUGGUUGAAAUCAUUCAUUUAUCCAACCAGCAUCCCGUGUGGCCAACACUGGGGCUGCAGUGGUGAGUUGGACUUGCGUGGAGGAGACUGCACUCCCACUCCAUGAUAAGAGAUGCCUGCGGAGCAAGUUCCAGAAGAGUGGGAUCAGAUACUGGGGUUGGGAGUCCAGGAAGCGACUUUCGAGCCGAAACCUGAAGUUGGUAUUUAACUGUGCAAAGCAGGGAGGGAGGCAUUCCAGGCGGAGGAUGGCGCAUGUGUGAAGGUUCUGGGGUAGGAGGGGGCAUGGCCCAUUUUGAGAAGUUUAAAAGGCACAGAGAGCAAGGAGGACGCUUUGAGGGGUUAGAGGAGUAGGAGGUGGGGCCCGGGCCAGGCCCAGCCCUUGCCGGAUGCCAGCUCCUUGCAGGCGUUUGAAAUUAAAAUGUGAUGGUUAUUUGUCGAUCAUUUCUUGGUCUGCCUUUGAACCCCUGGGCACUGGUGGGGGCCUAGAUGGAACCAAGAAGUGGAGUUGGCCACAGAUAGCUCUCUGUUCAUGGCCACAGCUUCUCACCUGUUCCUGGUCACCUUUUGCCCAUGGAUGCAGGGAGGGGACAAAUGCCAGUACGUGGGUCCACAGUGUUUUACUCACUCCAUACCAACAUGACUGUCCCCUGCACAGUCUUGGCCAAAAGAGCACCUUAACUUUGCCAAAGGCCUCUUGUCUACUCAGCAAUUCGGCCUCCUUGCUUUGUUUUACAAGGAGCUAAUCCCACUUUCUGGAACUUGCUAAUUCUCAGAGUAAGUAGUUGUUGGUCCUCAAGAAAGUUCAGCCCCAUGGGAAAGCAAAAAUUCCAGGUCUCUACCCAGUGCUCAGAAAGCCAGCCACGUUACCUCGGCCAACGCCAGCACUUGCUGUAGGCCAGGUUUUCUGAUCUUAUUAUCACACUGUUUUGCAGGUACUGCAACUGGGGCCCAGAAGGGUUCAGUAACUUGACCUAGGAGCACAGGUAGGAAGGGACAGAGUCAGAAUGCAGAACCCAGACCCACCUGUUUCCAGGCCCUGGUGCGGAACCAUGUGCCACCCAGCCAUUCACUCAUCUUGUGUGUUCAGAGAGUAGGCUCCGAGCCUGCAGCGCUGGGGCUGUGGGACUUAGAGGCCGUGCACUCUGGGCCAUCUUCAACAGAAGAGCAGUCUGAUGGGGGAGAGGCACCCAGAAUCAGCUGUGUCUGCCAGGGAAGCUGAUGGCCGAGCUGGAGCUGGGUGUCCUCUCCACCCCAGCUCCUCUCCCUGCUCCUUGACCACAAGUUCCUUCAUCCCCCAGAACUCCCCAUUUCUAGCCCAGUGGGCACAGUGAUAGAUCAUGACUCUCACGGGAUGUGAUGGAUUCAAGUUCAAUUGUUUGAAGGGCCUAGAACAGCACGUGGGCCCAGACAUCAGCAUUCCUUCUGUGCUAGCGCACAAGAGCUGCACCCCUGGUUCCAUGCCCUUCCUGGGUGUCUGGCAGGAGCGACUCACGUGUGGCAGAAAUCCCCAGUUUGGCAAUUGGGACCAUAGAGGCCCCAGUGUAGAAAUGAUAGCCUAAUGUCCCAUCAGGGAUUCUUUGACUGUAGACAGGAAAACCCAAACAUUUCCGAACUCCAAGGCCACGGUGAUUUACAUGGCGUGGUGUUGAGCUAUGAUUGAUGAAUUACUCAAAGUUUCUGCCUCCCCCGACUCUGGCAAGAACUUUGGCAGAACUUCUGUGCCACAUCCAGUACUAGCAACUUGCCAAGUUUGUGUCCUUAAAAUAAAGCGGUUUCCAAGAUAGAUGGCAGAAAGUGGGAAAUGUGAUUUUUCUUGAUUGGGUAACUAAGAACCACGCAGCAGGCAGGAGCCAUUUGGGGCCAAAGAACUGUUCAUUUAAAGUGUUUAUUGACACCUGGAAAUAGGGAUUAAACUUCUAAUGCUAUUUUCACAUCAAUUUACGCUACAUAAUUUCAUCAUGGGGAUAAGAUCCAGGCAGAUACCAAAAGGAGAGUUCCAAAGUCAUUUUACUGCCGUGUUUCCCUAAGAGAGACACACGAUAUCCUGGACUUGCUGAAACCAGGGAGAGAAGGAGGAGCCCAGUGGGUCACCUGCUGGCAGAAAGGCAAGUGCCACCGUGGGUAAGGACUUCAUGGUGGCUGCUGGGUUUCUUUGCAGCCAGCCUCCAUUUUUGCUGACGUGUGUGACUGCCCCGAAUCCAUAGUGAUCGCCCUAAUGUCGUGUUCGGGAUGUGCUCCCAACUCUGCAGCGGACUGAGCCAUGGAGAGUGUGCCCCAUCCGCGAGGGAUUCCCUUUGGACCUGGUCAUCCUCAGCAGUCGUGGGAGCUCCUCCGAGUGCGGCCUUCAAGGCCUGGGGACCCUGGACAGGCAGUGAUGGGUUAAAAGUAUUUGGUUACCACUGCACCUCCCAGAGCAAACACUCAACCGCGGAGGGCUGUUUCCCUUUGAGGGUGUGUUAAGGCAGAUCCUCUUCCCAGAGAAGUGCCAACACGCAGGUAAGUUUGUGUCCAGGAUCCAGGGCUCCUGGGAGCCACGGAUGCCCACCCAUGACCCCAGGGGAGGGGAAGCUGGCAAAAGAUGCAAAAA
This is a non-coding RNA of Microcebus murinus (gray mouse lemur), 4464 nucleotides long. The record is from RefSeq and is a predicted model, not a curated record. Lineage: Eukaryota; Metazoa; Chordata; Mammalia; Primates; Cheirogaleidae.